UACGUAGGGCGCAAGCGUUGUCCGGAAUUAUUGGGCGUAAAGAGCUCGUAGGCGGUCUGUUACGUCCGCUGUGAAAACCCAGGGCUUAACCCUAGGCUUGCAGUGGAUACGGGUAGACUAGAGGCAGGUAGGGGAGAAUGGAAUUCCCGGUGUAGCGGUGAAAUGCGCAGAUAUCGGGAGGAACACCGGUGGCGAAGGCGGUUCUCUGGGCCUGACCUGACGCUGAGGAGCGAAAGCGUGGGGAGCGAACAGG
RNAcentral lists this ribosomal RNA (253 nucleotides) under uncultured bacterium. Its description in RNAcentral is "partial 16S ribosomal RNA". It matches the Rfam family "Bacterial small subunit ribosomal RNA", at positions 524 to 776 of the family's 1533-position model. The record is from RNAcentral.